GACGAACGCUGGCGGCGUGCUUAACACAUGCAAGUCGAACGAUGAAGCCCAGCUUGCUGGGUGGAUUAGUGGCGAACGGGUGAGUAAUACGUGAGUAACCUGCCUUUAACUCUGGGAUAAGCCUUGGAAACGAGGUCUAAUACCGGAUACGACCAGUUCCCGCAUGGGAUGCUGGUGGAAAGGGAUAUGUACUGGUUUUAGAUGGGCUCACGGCCUAUCAGCUUGUUGGUGAGGUAACGGCUCACCAAGGCGACGACGGGUAGCCGGCCUGAGAGGGUGACCGGCCACACUGGGACUGAGACACGGCCCAGACUCCUACGGGAGGCAGCAGUGGGGAAUAUUGCACAAUGGGCGCAAGCCUGAUGCAGCGACGCCGCGUGAGGGAUGACGGCCUUCGGGUUGUAAACCGUCUUUCAGCAGGGAAGAAGCGAAAGUGACGGUACCUGCAGAAGAAGCGCCGGCUAACUACGUGCCAGCAGCCGCGGUAAU
This 489-nucleotide ribosomal RNA is filed under the name uncultured bacterium. Its description in RNAcentral is "bacterial SSU rRNA". It matches the Rfam family "Bacterial small subunit ribosomal RNA", at positions 28 to 524 of the family's 1533-position model. The record is from RNAcentral.